Molecule: non-coding RNA, 29 nt
Filed under: Mus musculus (house mouse)
Lineage: Eukaryota; Metazoa; Chordata; Mammalia; Rodentia; Muridae
Source: RNAcentral
UCAGCUGUUAGGCUAGGUGUUGCUCCUGC